UAACGAACGCUGGCGGCGUGCCUAAUACAUGCAAGUCGAACGCUUCUUUUUCCACCGGAGCUUGCUCCACCGGAAAAAGAGGAGUGGCGAACGGGUGAGUAACACGUGGGUAACCUGCCCAUCAGCGCCGCGUAACACUUGGAAACAGGUGCUAAUACCGUAUAACAAUCAAAACCGCAUGGUUUUGAUUUGAAAGGCGCCGCGUGGUGUCGCUGAUGGAUGGACCCGCGGUGCAUUAGCUAGUUGGUGAGGUAACGGCUCACCAAGGCCACGAUGCAUAGCCGACCUGAGAGGGUGAUCGGCCACAUUGGGACUGAGACACGGCCCAAACUCCUACGGGAGGCAGCAGUAGGGAAUCUUCGGCAAUGGACGAAAGUCUGACCGAGCAACGCCGCG
RNAcentral lists this ribosomal RNA (396 nucleotides) under Enterococcus faecium. Its description in RNAcentral is "bacterial SSU rRNA". It matches the Rfam family "Bacterial small subunit ribosomal RNA", at positions 29 to 401 of the family's 1533-position model. The record is from RNAcentral. Lineage: Bacteria; Bacillati; Bacillota; Bacilli; Lactobacillales; Enterococcaceae.